This 433-nucleotide ribosomal RNA is filed under the name uncultured bacterium. RNAcentral's name for it is "bacterial SSU rRNA". It matches the Rfam family "Bacterial small subunit ribosomal RNA", at positions 29 to 506 of the family's 1533-position model. The record is from RNAcentral.
AGCGAACGCUGGCGGCAGGCUUAACACAUGCAAGUCGAGCGGGCGUAGCAAUACGUCAGCGGCAGACGGGUGAGUAACGCGUGGGAACAUACCUUUUGGUUCGGAACAACACAGGGAAACUUGUGCUAAUACCGGAUAAGCCCUUACGGGGAAAGAUUUAUCGCCGAAAGAUUGGCCCGCGUCUGAUUAGCUAGUUGGUGAGGUAACGGCUCACCAAGGCGACGAUCAGUAGCUGGCUGAGAGGAUGAUCAGCCACAUUGGGACUGAGACACGGCCCAAACUCCUACGGGAGGCAGCAGUGGGGAAUAUUGGACAAUGGGCGCAAGCCUGAUCCAGCCAUGCCGCGUGAGUGAUGAAGGCCCUAGGGUUGUAAAGCUCUUUUGUGCGGGAAGAUAAUGACGGUACCGCAAGAAUAAGCCCCGGCUAACUUCGU